This 253-nucleotide ribosomal RNA is filed under the name uncultured bacterium. RNAcentral describes it as "partial 16S ribosomal RNA". It matches the Rfam family "Bacterial small subunit ribosomal RNA", at positions 524 to 776 of the family's 1533-position model. The record is from RNAcentral.
GACAGAGGGUGCAAACGUUGCUCGGAAUUACUGGGCGUAAAGCGCGUGUAGGCGGGCGGGCAAGUCAGAUGUGAAAUCCCCGGGCUCAACCUGGGAAUGGCAUUUGGGACUGCAAGGCUUGAGUUUGGCAGAGGAGACUGGAAUUCCUGGUGUAGCAGUGAAAUGCGUAGAUAUCAGGAGGAAUACCGAUGGCGAAGGCAGGUCUCUGGGCUAUAACUGACGCUCAUGCACGAAAGCGUGGGGAGCAAACAGG